UACGAAGGGGGCUAGCGUUGUUCGGAAUUACUGGGCGUAAAGGGCGCGUAGGCUGCCCUCCUAGUCGCGUGUGAAAGCCCCGGGCUCGACCUGGGAACGGCGCGCGAAACGGGGGGGCUGGAGUUCGGGAGAGGAGCGUGGAAUUCCCAGUGUAGAGGUGAAAUUCGUAGAUAUUGGGAAGAACACCGGUGGCGAAGGCGGCGCUCUGGACCGAGACUGACGCUGAGGCGCGAAAGCUAGGGGAGCAAACGGG
RNAcentral lists this ribosomal RNA (253 nucleotides) under uncultured bacterium. Its description in RNAcentral is "partial 16S ribosomal RNA". It matches the Rfam family "Bacterial small subunit ribosomal RNA", at positions 524 to 776 of the family's 1533-position model. The record is from RNAcentral.